This 69-nucleotide long non-coding RNA is filed under the name Neogale vison (American mink). RNAcentral's name for it is "Neovison vison (American mink) JPX transcript, XIST activator conserved region 2 (ENSNVIG00000024810.1)". It matches the Rfam family "JPX transcript, XIST activator conserved region 2". The record is from RNAcentral. Lineage: Eukaryota; Metazoa; Chordata; Mammalia; Carnivora; Mustelidae.
UAUCGGAGAGUAAUUUCUCUUUCUUUAGUCACCUUACCACCACUGAAAAAGCUAGACGGUUGUGGGUAU